UACGGAGGAUGCGAGCGUUAUCCGGAUUUAUUGGGUUUAAAGGGUGCGUAGGCGGGCUUUUAAGUCAGCGGUAAAAAUUCGGGGCUCAACCCCGUCCGGCCGUUGAAACUGGGGGCCUUGAGUGGGCGAGAAGAAGGCGGAAUGCGUGGUGUAGCGGUGAAAUGCAUAGAUAUCACGCAGAACCCCGAUUGCGAAGGCAGCCCUCCGGCGCCCUACUGACGCUGGGGCACGAAAGUGCGGGGAUCGAACAGG
This 252-nucleotide ribosomal RNA is filed under the name uncultured bacterium. RNAcentral's name for it is "partial 16S ribosomal RNA". It matches the Rfam family "Bacterial small subunit ribosomal RNA", at positions 524 to 776 of the family's 1533-position model. The record is from RNAcentral.